AGGGUUCGAUUCUGGCUCAGGAUGAACGCUGGCGGCGUGCUUAACACAUGCAAGUCGAACGAGGAAUUUUAAAUGAGACUUCGGUGGAUUUUAAAAUUCUUAGUGGCGGACGGGUGAGUAACGCGUGGGCAACCUGCCCUGUACAGGGGGACAACAGCUGGAAACGGCUGCUAAUACCGCAUAAGCGCACAGCAUCGCAUGAUGCCGUGUGAAAAACUCCGGUGGUACAGGAUGGGCCCGCGUUGGAUUAGAUAGUUGGCGGGGUAACGGCCCACCAAGUCGACGAUCAGUAGCCGGACUGAGAGGUUGAACGGCCACAUUGGGACUGAGACACGGCCCAG
This 341-nucleotide ribosomal RNA is filed under the name uncultured bacterium. Its description in RNAcentral is "bacterial SSU rRNA". It matches the Rfam family "Bacterial small subunit ribosomal RNA", at positions 8 to 334 of the family's 1533-position model. The record is from RNAcentral.